GACGAACGCUGGCGGCGUGCUUAACACAUGCAAGUCGAACGAAGAGCGAUGGAAGCUUGCUUCUAUCAAUCUUAGUGGCGAACGGGUGAGUAACGCGUAAUCAACCUGCCCUUCAGAGGGGGACAACAGUUGGAAACGACUGCUAAUACCGCAUACGAUCUGACCUCGGCAUCGAGGAUAGAUGAAAGGUGGCCUCUAUUUAUAAGCUAUCACUGAAGGAGGGGAUUGCGUCUGAUUAGCUAGUUGGAGGGGUAACGGCCCACCAAGGCGAUGAUCAGUAGCCGGUCUGAGAGGAUGAACGGCCACAUUGGGACUGAGACACGGCCCAGACUCCUACGGGAGGCAGCAGUGGGGAAUCUUCCGCAAUGGACGAAAGUCUGACAGAGCAACGCCGCGUGAGUGAUGACGGCCUUCGGGUUGUAAAGCUCUGUUAAUCGGGACGAAAGGCCUUCUUGCGAGUAGUUAGAAGGAUUGACGGUACCG
Molecule: ribosomal RNA, 483 nt
Filed under: Veillonella dispar
Lineage: Bacteria; Bacillati; Bacillota; Negativicutes; Veillonellales; Veillonellaceae
Description: bacterial SSU rRNA
Rfam family: Bacterial small subunit ribosomal RNA
Source: RNAcentral